Molecule: ribosomal RNA, 210 nt
Filed under: uncultured bacterium
Lineage: Bacteria
Description: partial 16S ribosomal RNA
Rfam family: Bacterial small subunit ribosomal RNA
Source: RNAcentral
CCUGCCCUGAAGCGGGGGACAACAACUUGAAAGAGUUGCUAAUACCGCAUGUGAAUUGCUAUGGCAUCAUGGCGUAUUCAAAGCCGCAAGGCACUUCAGGAUGGGCCCGCGGCCUAUCAGCUAGUUGGUGAGGUAAUGGCCCACCAAGGCUUCGACGGGUAGCUGGCCUGAGAGGACGAUCAGCCGGAUUGGGACUGAGAUACGGCCCAG